This 776-nucleotide ribosomal RNA is filed under the name Enterococcus sp. RNAcentral describes it as "bacterial SSU rRNA". It matches the Rfam family "Bacterial small subunit ribosomal RNA", at positions 801 to 1533 of the family's 1533-position model. The record is from RNAcentral. Lineage: Bacteria; Bacillati; Bacillota; Bacilli; Lactobacillales; Enterococcaceae.
GGGACCUAUGAGUGCUAGUGUUGGAGGGUUUCCGCCCUUCAGUGCUGCAGCUAACGCAUUAAGCACUCCGCCUGGGGAGUACGACCGCAAGGUUGAAACUCAAAGGAAUUGACGGGGGCCCGCACAAGCGGUGGAGCAUGUGGUUUAAUUCGAAGCAACGCGAAGAACCUUACCAGGUCUUGACAUCCUUUGACCACUCUAGAGAUAGAGCUUCCCCUUCGGGGGCAAAGUGACAGGUGGUGCAUGGUUGUCGUCAGCUCGUGUCGUGAGAUGUUGGGUUAAGUCCCGCAACGAGCGCAACCCUUAUUGUUAGUUGCCAUCAUUCAGUUGGGCACUCUAGCAAGACUGCCGGUGACAAACCGGAGGAAGGUGGGGAUGACGUCAAAUCAUCAUGCCCCUUAUGACCUGGGCUACACACGUGCUACAAUGGGAAGUACAACGAGUUGCGAAGUCGCGAGGCUAAGCUAAUCUCUUAAAGCUUCUCUCAGUUCGGAUUGCAGGCUGCAACUCGCCUGCAUGAAGCCGGAAUCGCUAGUAAUCGCGGAUCAGCACGCCGCGGUGAAUACGUUCCCGGGCCUUGUACACACCGCCCGUCACACCACGAGAGUUUGUAACACCCGAAGUCGGUGAGGUAACCUUUUUGGAGCCAGCCGCCUAAGUGGGAUAGAUGAUUGGGGUGAAGUCGUAACAAGGUAGCCGUAUCGGAAGGUGCAGCUGGAUCACCUCCUUCGUACUGACCCAAAGCUUAAAGCGUCGGAGGUAAUACGGAUUAAAUA